CUCACCACUCCAAGUCACCAGGAAACCUAGAGGCAGCACGGAGCCAACUCACUGCCCAACGAACGGGAGUGCUUGGUCCACUCGCUCCCCCGAGAGGCGGCAAAACAUAUGGCUGUGACAUACCCCUGGCAGGUGUUGGCUGACCGGGACAUUUGAAAUCACAGAUGAGUCAUUCACCCUAUGCCUCAUAAAGUCCCUACCUGCUACUAAGGACGUUUUCUUGUUCCCCUGAGAAAUAUAGUGUUACUCCUAUGCUCAUAUGCUAUGCCCUACAACUCACACGCUAACCUACUGCAAUUAUCUUGUAUUCCUAUCGACUAACAACACUAGUAUAAACAUGUGCCAAACUUUUAACAAAGCACAACCGCUACACACUCUCUAGGGCUAUGUAUAAUAACAAUGUUCAGCCUGCAUAACACUCCACAGCCUCAAUAGACUUAGCAUGCUCCUACAUUCCUGUAUUAACC
Pelobates cultripes (western spadefoot toad) is the source of this 467-nucleotide non-coding RNA. NCBI's taxonomy places the organism in Eukaryota, Metazoa, Chordata, Amphibia, Anura, Pelobatidae. The record is from the annotation of a GenBank genome assembly.